AUUGAACGCUGGCGGCAUGCUUUACACAUGCAAGUCGAACGGCAGCGCGGGGCAACCUGGCGGCGAGUGGCGAACGGGUGAGUAAUAUAUCGGAACGUACCCAGAAGUGGGGGAUAACGUAGCGAAAGUUACGCUAAUACCGCAUACGAUCUACGGAUGAAAGUAGGGGACCGCAAGGCCUUAUGCUUUUGGAGCGGCCGAUAUCUGAUUAGCUAGUUGGCGAGGUAAAGGCUCACCAAGGCGACGAUCAGUAGCUGGUCUGAGAGGACGACCAGCCACACUGGAACUGAGACACGGUCCAGACUCCUACGGGAGGCAGCAGUGGGGAAUUUUGGACAAUGGGCGCAAGCCUGAUCCAGCAAUGCCGCGUGAGUGAAGAAGGCCUUCGGGUUGUAAAGCUCUUUUGUCAGGGAAGAAACGGUAGAGGCUAAUAUCCUUUGCUAAUGACGGUACCUGAAGAAUAAGCACCGGCUAACUACGU
Molecule: ribosomal RNA, 481 nt
Filed under: uncultured bacterium
Lineage: Bacteria
Description: partial 16S ribosomal RNA
Rfam family: Bacterial small subunit ribosomal RNA
Source: RNAcentral